Molecule: long non-coding RNA, 377 nt
Filed under: Mytilus galloprovincialis (Mediterranean mussel)
Lineage: Eukaryota; Metazoa; Mollusca; Bivalvia; Mytilida; Mytilidae
Source: RNAcentral
AUUACCAGUAUGUUUGACACCCAAGCUGUCAAGUGAAGCUAUAUAAUAUAACAUCUUUUUUAAUUUACAGGUAAAAUUUAACACAGGUGUCAAUUACACCCGUACGGUAGUAAGAAAUUAUUAAAAAUGGCGGUUGAACAUUUCCAUUCAAGAAAUAUUUCAUACACAGGAUUUUUUUACCUUAACGGGAGGACGGGAGGAGACCCCUGAAAACGGGAUUAUUGUACUCCUGUCUGGAGGUUCACAUACAUGUAUGAAUAAGCGACAAGAUGCUAAUAGAAGUAUAAUUUAGCAACAAGAAGACUAUUUAGCGACAAGAAAGUUAAUAUAAAUUUAUAGAAAGAGUUAAUAUUUUAAAUUAUAAAUUAAAGCAUCAC